This is an RNA transcript of Neofelis nebulosa (Clouded leopard), 4306 nucleotides long. It is a transcript of the gene named TM2 domain containing 1, with no coding region annotated. The record is from RefSeq and is a predicted model, not a curated record. The transcript has 7 exons. Lineage: Eukaryota; Metazoa; Chordata; Mammalia; Carnivora; Felidae.
UUAUGGAGUCCUUAAGUUCUGUGUAAGAGCCUUCCACAAAUUCUUCUCUAAGCGAACAGGCAGGUCAUUAUAUCAUAACAGUAAGAGAACAGAUUUCUGAAAUCGGGCAAACAUCAAUUUGACUCCAAUUCAAUAACUAACGUCGACAUGGUUUUUUAGCGUCUUGGAGCCUGGCUCCGUAUCUGUAAACCCAAAUCCUACCAGAACCAACCGAGAUAAUGUCUGUAAAGCGCUUAGCAAAUCGCUGGGCGCCGCGGGCACAUCUGUAGACGGAAAAGUCAAAGCAGGGUUAGCUCGGGAGGAAGCAGUGGAUGCACGGCCUCGGAUUCUCAAAGCGAACCUUCUUCUCCGGGAUCUCAAAGACAAAUCAAAGCUCUUCCAGAUAAAUGCCCUGCCCUGUACAGACAAGAACCUGCCUCCGUCUAAGACAAGGUCCCUUUAAGAGCCUCGCUCCUUCCGCCCUUCUCCCGCCCCCGCCUAAGCAAAGACGGAAGCGGAAGAGGUGGGGGACUUGCUGGUCCCCAGCAUGGCGGCCGCCUGGCCCUCCAGGCCGGCUGCGCAGGAGGCGGUGGCCGCCCAGCUCCUGGGUGUCCUGUGGUUCGUGUCAGUCACCACGGGACCUUGGGGAGCUGCUGCCAUCGCCGCCGCUGGCGGGGAGGAGACGCUUAAGUGCGAGGACCUCAAAUUGGGACAAUAUCCUCUUUCCUUGUUUUCCAGCACCCAACAUAACUUGUAAGGAUUUCAGUGGCAAUGAAACACAUUUUACCGGGAACGAAGUUGGUUUUCUCAAGCCUAUAUCUUGCCGAAACGUAAAUGGCUAUUCAUACAAAGUGGCAGUGGCACUAUCUCUUUUUCUUGGAUGGUUGGGAGCCGAUCGGUUUUACCUUGGAUACCCUGCCUUGGGUUUGUUAAAGUUUUGCACUGUCGGAUUUUGUGGAAUUGGGAGCCUAAUUGAUUUCAUUCUUAUUUCAAUGCAGAUUGUUGGACCUUCAGAUGGAAGUAGUUACAUUAUAGAUUAUUAUGGAACCAGACUUACAAGACUGAGUAUUACGAACGAGACGUUUAGAAAAACACAGCUAUAUCCAUAAGUAUUUUUUAAAAGAAACAAUUCUCCUUAUUCCACUGCCAGACAUCUAUGACCGUGUCUGUAGAGGAAAAGAAAUUCUUCCAGACUUCAAGCCGUAUUACAAAGCUGUAAUCAUGAAGACAGUAUGGUACUGGCACAAGAACAGACACUCAGAUCAGUGGAACAGAAUAGAGAACCCAGAAAUGGAUCCACAAACGUAUGGCCAACUAAUCUUUGACAAAGCAGGAAAGAAUAUCCAAAGGAAUAAAGACAGUCUCUUCAGCAAGUGGUGCUGGGAAAACUGGACAGCGACAUGCAGAAGAAUAAAUCUGGACCACUUUCUUACACCAUACACAAAAAUAAACUCAAAAUGGAUGAAAGACAUCAAUGUAAGACAGGAAGCCAUCAAAAUCCUUGAGGAAAAAGCAGACAAAAAUCUCUUUGAUCUUGGCCGCAGCAACUUCUUACUCAACACGUCUCUGGAGGCAAGGGAAACAAAAGCAAAAAUGAACUACUGGGACUUCAUUAAAAUAAAAAGCUUCUGUACAGCAAAGGAAACAAUCAGCAAAACUAAAAGACAACCAACAGAAUGGGAGAAGAUAUUUGCAAACAACAUAUCAGAUAAAGGUUAGUAUCCAAAAUCUAUAAAGAACUUAGCAAACUCAACACCCCCAAAAAAAAUAAUCCAGUGAAGAAAUGGGCAAAAGACAUGAAUAGACACUUCUCCAAAGAAGACAUCCAGAUGGCCAACUAACACAUGAAAAAAUGCUCCACAUCACUCAUCAUCAGGGAAAUACAAAUCCAAACCACAAUGAGAUACCACCUCACACCUGUCAGAAUGGCUCACAUUAACAACUCAGGCAACAACAGGUGUUGGCGAGGAUGCGGGGAAAGAGGAUCUCUUUUGCAUUGUUGGUGGGAAUGCAAGCUGGUGCACCCACUCUGGAAAACAGCAUGGAGGUUCCUCAAAAAACUAAAAAUAGAACUACCCUAUGACCCAGCAAUUGCACUACUAGGCAUUUAUACACGGGAUACAGGUGUGCUGUUUCAAAGGAGCACAUGCACCCCCAUGUUUAUAGCAGCACUAUCAACAAUAGCCAAAGUGUGGAAAGAACCCAAAUGUCCAUCGAUGGAUGAAUGGAUAAAGAAGAUGUGGUAUACACACACACACACACACACACACACACACACACACACACAUACACAAUGGAAUAUUACUCAGCAAUCAAAAAGAAUAAAAUCUUGCCAUUUGCAACUAUGUGGAUGGAACUAGAGGAUAUUAUGCUAAGUGAAAUUAGAGAAAGACAAAUAUCGUAUGACUUUACUCAUUUGAGGACUUUAAGAGACAAAACAGAUGAACAUAAGGGAAGGGAAACAAAAGUAAUAUAAAAACAGGGAGGGGGACAAAACAGAAGAGACUCUUACAUAUGAAGAACAAAGUGAGGGUUACUGGAGAGGUUAUGGGAGGGGGGAUGGGCUAAAUGGGUAAGGGGCACUAAGGAAUCUACUCCUGAAAUCAUUGUUGCACUAUAUGCUACCUAAUUUGUAUGUAAAUUAAAAAAUAAAAUAAAAUGAAAUAAAAUAAAAUUCACAACAAUUUUUAAAUCUAUUUCCUAGAAAGCCACAAUAGUUUAAAAAAAUUCUUGCACUUAAAGUUUAAAAUUGGUUCUGCUCUAAAAAUUAGAGUAAUCUGUUCCAAAUAGCAUGUGAACUUUUUCAAAUGAUUGUGUCAUUGUUGUUUUUUUAAGCAAAAGCUUCAAAGCUGAUGUCUUCAUCAAAUAAACAGUGCAUCAAUUGUGACUUUGAAGAAAUUGAUCAUUUAUUUUCUCUGUAAUUACUGUAUAUGUAAUACAUUUUCACUCUGUAACUAACUUACCAUUUCUGUAUGCAAAAUGUUAAAAGAAACUUAGAAAAAUCUUAUUUCUGAAGUUACUUUAACCUUGACUUUAUAGAAAUAACACAUGAGCACAACCUGUAUCAAGUGCUAACAACCUACAAUUAUCCAUUAAUCUGCACUGGAUACCAUUGGAAAAGGUAUAAAGGCUGAAUUCCUAGAAAAAUUAAAAAAUAAAAAGAAAUUCUUCAGUUUCUCUCCUUGGGAAAAGUUGAUGUUUCCUUCAUAAACUUCAGUGUCUUAUUUUAAAACCUAGCUUCACCAAAUACAGGUCAAACCCUAUGGUAAACAUCAGUUUUAAGACAACAAUUUUCUCAAUAAUUACAAUGAACACUUUACUGUAGUGAAAGUAGUUCCAAGCUUUGGGAAAGACCACAUUACAUUGUUUACAUGAUGCUGACAGAAGUAAAAUUUCCUUUAUGGAUUCAGUGUGCCAAAGUGUGGCCUCCCCCUUUUCCUCUGAUGGUCUUUUUCUCCUACCUCUCUGUAUCCAUCUACCUUGGCUACUAUAUAUCUUCUUGUUUCCAACAUGGCAAAAAGGGCCUAAGGGUGUUGACAAGUCUCUCACUAAACCUUGCCCAGAAGCCAUAAUAUAAAAAAAUACAGUUUGAUAUUUUUAGGUGGAGUUGAAUUGCAGGAGUAGUGCUCUGCAAAGGAAGGAGGCAGCACCAUAUUAACCAUUGUCUUAAAAAUGUUUAUGUUCUGUGCUUUGGAAGGUCUGGUGUAGGAGUUGGUGAGCUUUUCCUGUAAAGGGCUAGUGUUUUGUGCCAGUCACAGCCUAUCAAUAACCAAUGUUGUGGCAGUACCAGCCCUUGUGGUUCUUGUUAAGAAUGUAAGAUACCCUUUGGCAACAACCAUCAGGAAGCUUUGAAAAAAUAACGGUUUAUUACUUACAAGACCUAGAGAUUGCAUAGCAAACCAGGGCCACACAGAAAGGCCCUGGUUAGGGAGAGGAAGAGAGUGCAUGGCUCUGAGGUUCUGUUUUAAUUGAGAUGGAGAGUGGGAGCCUACGGUUUCAUGAGCUCACUCUCUUUAUUGGCGAAUGUAUAUAUGUAUGUAUGUAUUUAUCUAUUUAUUUAGGUAAAAUUGGUAUAUGACAUUAUAUUAGUUUUAGUUAUGUGCACAACAUAAUUCAAUAUUUGUAUACACUACAAAGUAAUCACUACAAUUAAGCCUAGCUCCAUCUGUCACCAUAUAAAUGACCCUCUUCAACCAUUUCACCUACCCCACAAGCCCCUUUCACUCUGAUAGCCACUAGCAUAUUCUCUGUAUCUAUGUGUUUUGUUUUGUUUUGCUUGUUUGUUUAUUUUGUUUUUUAGAUUCCACAAAUAAAGAAAAUCAUACCA